GAUGAACGCUGGCGGCGUGCCUAAUACAUGCAAGUCGAGCGAACAGACGAGGAGCUUGCUCCUCUGACGUUAGCGGCGGACGGGUGAGUAACACGUGGAUAACCUACCUAUAAGACUGGGAUAACUUCGGGAAACCGGAGCUAAUACCGGAUAAUAUAUUGAACCGCAUGGUUCAAUAGUGAAAGACGGUUUUGCUGUCACUUAUAGAUGGAUCCGCGCCGCAUUAGCUAGUUGGUAAGGUAACGGCUUACCAAGGCAACGAUGCGUAGCCGACCUGAGAGGGUGUACGCCCACACUGAAACAGAGACACGGCCCAGACUCCAAGGGGGGGCAGCGGUGGGAAAUCUUCCGCAGGGGGCAAAAGCUAGACGGGGCAACGCCGCGGGUGUAAAAAGGUUCUUCGGUUCGAAAAACUCUUUUUUUGGAGAAAAACAAUUGUGUAAGUAACUAUGCACGUCUAGACGAUACCAAGUCAAAAAGCCAGGGCAAACUCCG
This 495-nucleotide ribosomal RNA is filed under the name uncultured bacterium. RNAcentral describes it as "partial 16S ribosomal RNA". It matches the Rfam family "Bacterial small subunit ribosomal RNA", at positions 28 to 505 of the family's 1533-position model. The record is from RNAcentral.